UACGUAGGGAGCAAGCGUUGUCCGGAAUCAUUGGGCGUAAAGAGCGUGUAGGCGGUCCGGUAAGUCCGUUGUGAAAGUCGAGGGCUCAACCCUCGAAUGCCGGCGGAUACUGUCGGACUAGAGUCCGGAAGAGGCGAGUGGAAUUCCUGGUGUAGCGGUGAAAUGCGCAGAUAUCAGGAGGAACACCGAUGGCGAAGGCAGCUCGCUGGGACGGUACUGACGCUGAGGUGCGAAAGCGUGGGGAGCAAACAGG
RNAcentral lists this ribosomal RNA (253 nucleotides) under uncultured bacterium. RNAcentral's name for it is "partial 16S ribosomal RNA". It matches the Rfam family "Bacterial small subunit ribosomal RNA", at positions 524 to 776 of the family's 1533-position model. The record is from RNAcentral.